GAACACCUGCUGUAUUCUCCCAGCAAACACUGGGGCCAUGGCGUCUCUCCUCUAAUGACACCUCAUCAAUCCGCUCCUAUCAAUGUCCCAGCCAUGGAGGUGACUUCGAGUGCUCAGAAGCCUUAGAAAAUGUCAACGUUUUGGGAGAAAAGAUAUGGAUGAUUUCAUAAUUCUUUUGGGAAUUAUUGUCACAUGGGAGUCUUGGACACAAGAGGACCCAACACCAAAUGGAUAUCUAUUAAUGUAAAUCCAUGUACAUAGGAUUAGAUGCCAACCAUAAAGUGAGUGUGAAAUUUCAAGGGCCAGGAGGAUUGCCCCAUACCUGGAAGCCUGCUUCAUGAGUGGAGGACAGAAGGCAAAUGGAAUAGAGAAGGCAUCACUAAGAAAAUGAUGGCUGGAGGAAUCAGUCGGGAUGGGAGAUGCAUGCCGAAAGUAGAUAAUGGACCAAACAUGAUGACCUCCUAGUGUCUGUGUUGCAAACCAAAAUGCCCAAAAGUAGAGAGAGAGUAUGGGGAAUAUUGU
Sorex araneus (European shrew) is the source of this 522-nucleotide long non-coding RNA. RefSeq lists it as uncharacterized. NCBI's taxonomy places the organism in Eukaryota, Metazoa, Chordata, Mammalia, Eulipotyphla, Soricidae. The transcript is spliced from 4 exons. The record is from RefSeq and is a predicted model, not a curated record.